RNAcentral lists this ribosomal RNA (465 nucleotides) under uncultured bacterium. RNAcentral's name for it is "bacterial SSU rRNA". It matches the Rfam family "Bacterial small subunit ribosomal RNA", at positions 338 to 795 of the family's 1533-position model. The record is from RNAcentral.
CCUACGGGAGGCAGCAGUAGGGAAUCUUCCGCAAUGGACGAAAGUCUGACGGAGCAACGCCGCGUGAGCGAAGAAGGUCUUCGGUACGUAAAGCUCUGUUGUUAGGGAAGAACAAGUACGGGAGGAAAUGACCGUACCUUGACGGUACCUAACGAGGAAGCCACGGCUAACUACGUGCCAGCAGCCGCGGUAAUACGUAGGUUGCAAGCGUUGUCCGGAAUUAUUGGGCGUAAAGCGCGCGCAGGCGGUCUUUUAAGUCGGAUGUGAAAUCUUGCGGCUGAACCGCAAGCGUUCGUUGGAAAGUGGGAGACUUGAGUGCAGGAGAGGAAAGCGGAAUUCCACGUGUAGCGGUGAAAUGCGGAGGGAUGUGGAGGAACACCAGUGGCGAAGGCGGCUUUCUGGUCUGUAACUGACGGUGAGGCGCGAAAGCGUGGGGAGCAAACAGGAUUAGAUACCCCAGUAGUC